GAUUAACGCUGGCGGCGUGCAUAACACAUGCAAGUCGAACGAAGUGGCGGACGGGUUAGUAACGCGUGUGUAACCUGCCUUAGAGAAGGGGGUAGCCUUUGGAAACGAAGCAUAAUACCCUAUGCUCUAAGGUGGGCUUGCGUGUGAUUAGUUAGUUGGUGCGGUAACGGCUCACCAAGACAGCGAUCAGUAGCCGGCUUGAGAGAGUGUACGGCCACAUUGGGACUGAGACACGGGCCAUACUCUACGGGGGGCAGCAGUGGGGAAUUUUGCACAAUGGGGGAAACCCUGAUGCAGCGACGCCGCGUGAUUUAGAAGGCCUUCGGGUUGUAAAAAUCUUUUCUAUGGGAAGCAGUACCAUAGGAAUAAGGACCGGCUAAUUACGUGCCAGCAGCCGCGGUAAUUC
RNAcentral lists this ribosomal RNA (406 nucleotides) under uncultured bacterium. RNAcentral's name for it is "partial 16S ribosomal RNA". It matches the Rfam family "Bacterial small subunit ribosomal RNA", at positions 28 to 526 of the family's 1533-position model. The record is from RNAcentral.